GCCGGGCGUAGUGGCGGGCGCCUGUAGUCCCAGCUACUUGGGAGGCUGAGGCAGGAGAAUGGCGUGAACCCAGGAGGUGGAGCUUGCAGUGAGCCAAGAUUGUGCCACUGUACUCCAGCCUGGGUGACAGAGCGAGACCCUGUCUCAA
Unclassified non-coding RNA from Pongo abelii (Sumatran orangutan), 148 nucleotides. It matches the Rfam family "Metazoan signal recognition particle RNA". Rfam says of the family: The signal recognition particle (SRP) is a universally conserved ribonucleoprotein. It is involved in the co-translational targeting of proteins to membranes. Lineage: Eukaryota; Metazoa; Chordata; Mammalia; Primates; Hominidae. The record is from Ensembl.